This 216-nucleotide ribosomal RNA is filed under the name Glomeromycotina sp. RNAcentral's name for it is "partial small subunit ribosomal RNA". The stretch from base 40 to 216 matches the Rfam family "Eukaryotic small subunit ribosomal RNA", at positions 686 to 864 of the family's 1831-position model. The record is from RNAcentral. Lineage: Eukaryota; Fungi; Glomeromycota.
GGGUCAGUAGGUUGGUCGUGCCACCGGUACGUACUGGUCUCACUGAUUCCUCCUUCCUGAAGAACCUUAAUGCCAUUAAUUUGGUGUUGCGGGGAAACAGGACUGUUACUUUGAAAAAAUUAGAGUGUUUAGAGCAAGCUAACGCUUGAAUACAUUAGCAUGGAAUAAUGAAAUAGGACGAUCGAUCCUAUUUUGUUGGUUUCUAGGAUUGACGUA